This 308-nucleotide long non-coding RNA is filed under the name Brassica napus (rape). Its description in RNAcentral is "long non-coding RNA (BNAP_LNC022383)". Lineage: Eukaryota; Viridiplantae; Streptophyta; Magnoliopsida; Brassicales; Brassicaceae. The record is from RNAcentral.
UCAGGUAGAAAUAACAAAGCCUAUUCUCCCUGAUUUAGGUUUUCCAUGUUGGGCAUUUACCAUUGCUAAGUCUAACCGGAUAUGUGGUUGGGUUGGGUCUUAAACUCUUGUCAAACCCAAAAAAUUUCAAAUUGGACAUUUAAUAAAUAUAUCUUUGGAAGCUAUUUAAUCUAGUAGUUUGAUUGAAAGUUCACUUUUACAUCAAAAAAUUUGGAUUUCAAAUCUCAGGAAAGGUGAUUUGUUAAAACAAUAUUAAUAGAAGAAAAUCUUACAAGAGCAUGUAAACUUGGUUGGGUGUAGAUUUUUAU